UACGUAGGGUGCGAGCGUUAAUCGGAAUUACUGGGCGUAAAGCGUGCGCAGGCGGUUCGCUAAGACCGAUGUGAAAUCCCCGGGCUUAACCUGGGAACUGCAUUGGUGACUGCAUUGCUGGAGUAUGGCAGAGGGGGGUGGAAUUCCACGUGUAGCAGUGAAAUGCGUAGAGAUGUGGAGGAACACCGAUGGCGAAGGCAGCCCCCUGGGCCAAUACUGACGCUCAUGCACGAAAGCGUGGGGAGCAAACAGG
Molecule: ribosomal RNA, 253 nt
Filed under: uncultured bacterium
Lineage: Bacteria
Description: partial 16S ribosomal RNA
Rfam family: Bacterial small subunit ribosomal RNA
Source: RNAcentral